This 154-nucleotide ribosomal RNA is filed under the name Pasteurella multocida subsp. multocida str. P52VAC. RNAcentral's name for it is "partial 23S ribosomal RNA". It matches the Rfam family "Bacterial large subunit ribosomal RNA", at positions 2773 to 2925 of the family's 2925-position model. Lineage: Bacteria; Pseudomonadati; Pseudomonadota; Gammaproteobacteria; Pasteurellales; Pasteurellaceae. The record is from RNAcentral.
GAAAGCAUCUAAGCACGAAACUUGCCAAGAGAUGAGUCAUCCCUGACUUUAAGUCAGUAAGGGUUGUUGUAGACUACGACGUAGAUAGGUUGGGUGUGUAAGUGUAGUGAUACAUUGAGCUAACCAAUACUAAUUGCCCGAGAGGCUUAACCAU